UACAGAGGGUGCGAGCGUUGUCCGGAGUUACUGGGCGUAAAGCGCACGCAGGCGGUCUGCUAAGUUUGGAGUGACAGUUGGUGGCUUAACUGCCAAAGUGCUUCGAAAACUGACAGACUUGAGGGCUUCAGAGGGACACGGAAUUCCGGGUGGAGUGGUGAAAUGCGUAGAGAUCCGGAGGAACACCAAAGGCGAAGGCAGUGUCCUGGGGAGUACCUGACGCUCAGGUGCGAAAGCCAGGGGAGCGAACGGG
Molecule: ribosomal RNA, 253 nt
Filed under: uncultured bacterium
Lineage: Bacteria
Description: partial 16S ribosomal RNA
Rfam family: Bacterial small subunit ribosomal RNA
Source: RNAcentral